UACGUAGGGCGCAAGCGUUUGUCCGGAAUUAUUGGGCGUAAAGAGCUCGUAGGCGGUUUGUCGCGUCUGCUGUGAAAUCCCGAGGCUCAACCUCGGGCCUGCAGUGGGUACGGGCAGACUAGAGUGCGGUAGGGGGAGAUUGGAAUUCCUGGUGUAGCGGUGGAAUGCGCAGAUAUCAGGAGGAACACCGGUGGCGAAGGCGGGUCUCUGGGCCGAUACUGACGCUGAGUGCGCGAAAGCCAGGGGGAGCAAACGGGG
This 258-nucleotide ribosomal RNA is filed under the name uncultured bacterium. Its description in RNAcentral is "partial 16S ribosomal RNA". It matches the Rfam family "Bacterial small subunit ribosomal RNA", at positions 524 to 777 of the family's 1533-position model. The record is from RNAcentral.